RNAcentral lists this ribosomal RNA (253 nucleotides) under uncultured bacterium. RNAcentral describes it as "partial 16S ribosomal RNA". It matches the Rfam family "Bacterial small subunit ribosomal RNA", at positions 524 to 776 of the family's 1533-position model. The record is from RNAcentral.
GACGAACCGUCCAAACGUUAUUCGGAAUCACUGGGCUUAAAGGGUGCGUAGGCGGCUUGGCAAGUUGGGUGUGAAAGCCCUCGGCUCAACCGAGGAAUUGCGCCCAAAACUGCCGGGCUAGAGGGAGACAGAGGUGAGCGGAACUUAGGGUGGAGCGGUGAAAUGCUUUGAUAUCCUAAGGAACACCGGUAGCGAAAGCGGCUUCCUGGACGGUACCUGACUCUGAUACACGAAAGCUAGGGGAGCGAACGGG